RNAcentral lists this ribosomal RNA (232 nucleotides) under uncultured bacterium. RNAcentral's name for it is "partial 16S ribosomal RNA". It matches the Rfam family "Bacterial small subunit ribosomal RNA", at positions 118 to 347 of the family's 1533-position model. The record is from RNAcentral.
UGAGCAAUCUGCCCUUCUCUUCGGAAUAAGCGUUGGAAACGACGUCUAAUGCCGAAUACGACCUCCUUUCGCAUGAUCGGAGGUGGAAAGCUCCGGCGGAGAAGGAUGAGCUCGCGGCCUAUCAGCUAGUUGGUGUGGGUAAUGGCCCACAAGGCGACGACGGGUAGCUGGUCUGAGAGGAUAAUCAGCCACAGUUGGGACUGAGACACGGCCCAGACCUCGUACGGGGAGG